RNAcentral lists this ribosomal RNA (449 nucleotides) under uncultured bacterium. RNAcentral describes it as "partial 16S ribosomal RNA". It matches the Rfam family "Bacterial small subunit ribosomal RNA", at positions 29 to 523 of the family's 1533-position model. The record is from RNAcentral.
AACGAACGCUGGCGGCAUGCCUAACACAUGCAAGUCGAACGAGACCUUCGGGUCUAGUGGCGCACGGGUGCGUAACGCGUGGGAAUCUGCCCUUUGGUUCGGAAUAACAGUUGGAAGCGACUGCUAAUACCGGAUGAUGACGAAAGUCCAAAGAUUUAUCGCCAGAGGAUGAGCCCGCGUAGGAUUAGCUAGUUGGUGUGGUAAAGGCGCACCAAGGCGACGAUCCUUAGCUGGUCUGAGAGGAUGAUCAGCCACACUGGGACUGAGACACGGCCCAGACUCCUACGGGAGGCAGCAGUGGGGAAUAUUGGACAAUGGGCGAAAGCCUGAUCCAGCAAUGCCGCGUGAGUGAUGAAGGCCUUAGGGUUGUAAAGCUCUUUUACCCGGGAUGAUAAUGACAGUACCGGGAGAAUAAGCUCCGGCUAACUCCGUGCCAGCCGCCGCGGUAA